GAUGAACGCUGGCGGCGUGCCUAAUACAUGCAAGUCGAGCGAACAGACGAGGAGCUUGCUCCUCUGACGUUAGCGGCGGACGGGUGAGUAACACGUGGAUAACCUACCUAUAAGACUGGGAUAACUUCGGGAAACCGGAGCUAAUACCGGAUAAUAUAUUGAACCGCAUGGUUCAAUAGUGAAAGACGGUUUUGCUGUCACUUAUAGAUGGAUCCGCGCCGCAUUAGCUAGUUGGUAAGGUAACGGCUUACCAAGGCAACGAUGCGUAGCCGACCUGAGAGGGUGAGCGGCCACAUUGGAACGGAGACACGGACCAGACUACUAAGGGAGGCAGCAGUAGGGAAUCGUCCGCAAUGGGCGAAAGCUUGACGAAGCAACGCCGCGUGAGUGAUGAAGGUCUUCGGAUCGUAAAACUCUGUUAUUAGGGAAAAACAAAUGUGUAAGUAACUAUGCACGUCUUGACGGUACCUAAUCAGAAAGCCACGGCUAACUACGUG
RNAcentral lists this ribosomal RNA (497 nucleotides) under uncultured bacterium. RNAcentral's name for it is "partial 16S ribosomal RNA". It matches the Rfam family "Bacterial small subunit ribosomal RNA", at positions 28 to 507 of the family's 1533-position model. The record is from RNAcentral.